UGUGUAGGCGGCAAAGCAAGCGUCUUGUGAAAUACCUCGGCUUAACCGGGGAAUGGCUGGGCGAACUGCUUUGCUUGAGGCAAGUAGGGGUGCAUGGAACUCUUGGUGGAGCGGUGGAAUGCGUAGAUAUCAAGAGGAACGCCGAUGGUGAAGACAGUGCACUGGGCUUGUCCUGACGCUGAGACACGAAAGCGUGGGGAGCAAACGGGAUUAGAUACCCCGGUAGUCCACGCCCUAAACUAUGUCUACUAGGUUGCGAUAGUUCUGACACUGGCGCGACCGAAGCAAAAGUGUUAAGUAGACCGCCUGGGGAGUACGGUCGCAAGGCUAAA
Molecule: ribosomal RNA, 332 nt
Filed under: uncultured bacterium
Lineage: Bacteria
Description: bacterial SSU rRNA
Rfam family: Bacterial small subunit ribosomal RNA
Source: RNAcentral